AUGGCAUACAUCUCUCUCUAGUCUAUCCUCCUUCAGUGUCGCCAAUAAAUGCCCCCAACCUCCCGUCCCGCGUCGUCGCCUACUCGCUGCUUCAUUCAUCCAUCCAUCCAUUCAUCCAUUGAUGCGCUCAUCGCCGUCCGGUCGCUGCCCUGCUGCUGCUGCUGCUUCUUCUUCUUCUUCUUCUUCUUCUUCACGCCUCACUCUGUCGCUUCUUCCUCUGCAGCGUACGUGCUGGUGCUGCAAAAGGAAAGGAGCCGCGGCUCCAUCCAUCCAUCCAUCCAUCCAUGCAAGUCGUCUUCCUGCCGACCGGCCUGCCUGCCUCUAGUACAUUCGGGAUCGAUCGA
This 344-nucleotide non-coding RNA is filed under the name Zea mays. Lineage: Eukaryota; Viridiplantae; Streptophyta; Magnoliopsida; Poales; Poaceae. The record is from RNAcentral.